This 871-nucleotide ribosomal RNA is filed under the name Escherichia coli. Its description in RNAcentral is "partial 23S ribosomal RNA". It matches the Rfam family "Bacterial large subunit ribosomal RNA", at positions 911 to 1796 of the family's 2925-position model. Lineage: Bacteria; Pseudomonadati; Pseudomonadota; Gammaproteobacteria; Enterobacterales; Enterobacteriaceae. The record is from RNAcentral.
UGUUUCGGCAAGGGGGUCAUCCCGACUUACCAACCCGAUGCAAACUGCGAAUACCGGAGAAUGUUAUCACGGGAGACACACGGCGGGUGCUAACGUCCGUCGUGAAGAGGGAAACAACCCAGACCGCCAGCUAAGGUCCCAAAGUCAUGGUUAAGUGGGAAACGAUGUGGGAAGGCCCAGACAGCCAGGAUGUUGGCUUAGAAGCAGCCAUCAUUUAAAGAAAGCGUAAUAGCUCACUGGUCGAGUCGGCCUGCGCGGAAGAUGUAACGGGGCUAAACCAUGCACCGAAGCUGCGGCAGCGACGCUUAUGCGUUGUUGGGUAGGGGAGCGUUCUGUAAGCCUGUGAAGGUGUACUGUGAGGUAUGCUGGAGGUAUCAGAAGUGCGAAUGCUGACAUAAGUAACGAUAAAGCGGGUGAAAAGCCCGCUCGCCGGAAGACCAAGGGUUCCUGUCCAACGUUAAUCGGGGCAGGGUGAGUCGACCCCUAAGGCGAGGCCGAAAGGCGUAGUCGAUGGGAAACAGGUUAAUAUUCCUGUACUUGGUGUUACUGCGAAGGGGGGACGGAGAAGGCUAUGUUGGCCGGGCGACGGUUGUCCCGGUUUAAGCGUGUAGGCUGGUUUUCCAGGCAAAUCCGGAAAAUCAAGGCUGAGGCGUGAUGACGAGGCACUACGGUGCUGAAGCAACAAAUGCCCUGCUUCCAGGAAAAGCCUCUAAGCAUCAGGUAACAUCAAAUCGUACCCCAAACCGACACAGGUGGUCAGGUAGAGAAUACCAAGGCGCUUGAGAGAACUCGGGUGAAGGAACUAGGCAAAAUGGUGCCGUAACUUCGGGAGAAGGCACGCUGAUAUGUAGGUGAAGCGACUUGCUCGUGG